GCUUCGCCCUGGUGCCUUCAUUCCCAAGGGUUGUUUAUAGCAUUGUUCCUCCGAAGCCAUCCAACACUGUUAUUCUCUAGCUGCUUUUAAUCUUCAUUUGUAAUGUAGAGGGGAGUUUAUGGUUGACUUCAA
Ipomoea nil (Japanese morning glory) is the source of this 132-nucleotide long non-coding RNA. RefSeq lists it as uncharacterized. The transcript has 4 exons. The record is from RefSeq and is a predicted model, not a curated record. NCBI's taxonomy places the organism in Eukaryota, Viridiplantae, Streptophyta, Magnoliopsida, Solanales, Convolvulaceae.